RNAcentral lists this ribosomal RNA (253 nucleotides) under uncultured bacterium. RNAcentral describes it as "partial 16S ribosomal RNA". It matches the Rfam family "Bacterial small subunit ribosomal RNA", at positions 524 to 776 of the family's 1533-position model. The record is from RNAcentral.
UACAGAGGGGGCAAGCGUUGUUCGGAAUUACUGGGCGUAAAGGGCGCGUAGGCGGCCUGCUAAGUCGAACGUGAAAUCCCUGGGCUCAACCCAGGAACUGCGUCCGAUACUGGUUGGCUUGAAUCCGGGAGAGGGAUGCGGAAUUCCAGGUGUAGCGGUGAAAUGCGUAGAUAUCUGGAGGAACACCGGUGGCGAAGGCGGCAUCCUGGACCGGCAUUGACGCUGAGGCGCGAAAGCGUGGGGAGCAAACGGG